Molecule: transfer RNA, 87 nt
Filed under: Deltaproteobacteria bacterium
Lineage: Bacteria; Pseudomonadati; Myxococcota; Myxococcia
Also listed under: 2 other names
Description: tRNA-Leu
Rfam family: tRNA
About the family: Transfer RNA (tRNA) molecules are approximately 80 nucleotides in length. Their secondary structure includes four short double-helical elements and three loops (D, anti-codon, and T loops).
Source: RNAcentral
GCGAGAGUGGCGGAAUUGGUAGACGCACUGGACUUAGGAUCCAGCUCUGGAGACAGAGUGGGAGUUCAACUCUCCCCUCUCGCACCA